UACGGAGGAUGCGAGCGUUAUCCGGAUUUAUUGGGUUUAAAGGGUGCGCAGGCGGAAGAUCAAGUCAGCGGUAAAAUUGAGAGGCUCAACCUCUUCGAGCCGUUGAAACUGGUUUUCUUGAGUGAGCGAGAAGUAUGCGGAAUGCGUGGUGUAGCGGUGAAAUGCAUAGAUAUCACGCAGAACUCCGAUUGCGAAGGCAGCUCACUGGACUGCAACUGACACUGAGGCUCGAAAGUGUGGGUAUCAAACAGG
This 252-nucleotide ribosomal RNA is filed under the name uncultured Bacteroidales bacterium. RNAcentral describes it as "partial 16S ribosomal RNA". It matches the Rfam family "Bacterial small subunit ribosomal RNA", at positions 524 to 776 of the family's 1533-position model. The record is from RNAcentral. Lineage: Bacteria; Pseudomonadati; Bacteroidota; Bacteroidia; Bacteroidales.